AUGGGAUGCCUCCUUGGGUGCGCCGUUGUGGCCGAAACUACACCGUCCUGCUUGUGUUUACACGAGGCGGUGCCGCGGCGGGCAGUACAAGGCGAUGGAUAUUGCUGUCUAGACCAAGUGAACAGAUCCUGUCUUAUAUGAUUCUGGUUCAGAUUCUUGUUCUGAAUUAUGAACUACCAUGAUGGUGUAAGGAGCCAUGUACCUCCGGCGGUAUGAUGUACGACGGCGAAAGGUUCCUCCACUUUCGGCCACAGCACCAGGGAGUUCUGCUUGGAGAGGAUGCUCCUCUGCAGGGUUUUGACCUGGAUGAUAAAGUUGCUUGGUAGAGAUGAACUUUCUCCAUCCACCUACAGAUGAGCAAAAUGAGUACAGAUGAACCAAACUUUACAACACUCAGAUAGGCAGGCAGCAAAGUUAGCCAGCACAGCAUACUCCUUCCACACCCAGUGCUUAUAAGCACGCACACAGAAUAUCCCAGCAGAUGCACACCAGCUCCCUAUGAGACAGCACACAGGGUCUGCAGAGCAACCAACUGCUCAACACCUCAGCCUACUUUCUUACCAACAUGUGGACAGCUCCAGCUAAGUAGCCUAAUAUGAAUCAGGUCUGUGUGCAAUUUUAGUUUGCUUAGUGUUAUUCUAUGUCUGCUACACACAUAAGGUAAACACCAUAAUUAUCACUCAGGCUUGUGCUAUAACAGGUUCCCAGAAAAGUGGCAAGACUCAAGGGUUUAAGGAGGAGCAAGGAAAGACUUCUGCUGUGGUUACCAUAAAGGAAUUUUAAGAAACAGGAUAAGACUGACAAACACAUUGAUGGAAACUAGCAAAUUGUAAAAAUGUUUCAUUGGUUUGCCUACUUGUUGUCUUACUAAUUCCCCAUACUAUUCACUUUAUAUUGCCCAUUUUACAAUCAAGUGCAAUACAAACAUGUUAGUGUCAUAAGAGAAUAAAAAAGCUAUCCACAUUAAAAUGUCUUCUUUAAUAAAGCAUUUAACCUCUUUUUCACUGCCAUUACAUAGAACUUAACUAUGGUAAAGGUAAAAAAAUUCAUUAAUAAUUUGUUAUUACUAUAAUAAAUGUAAGUAAAGUACAGCAUUAUCAAGCCACUUUGACUCACAUAAUGUGCAAUUUUCAUUUAUAUUAUUCCAAAAAGAUAUUAAGGCUGCUUCAAUCAAGCUAAUUAAAUCAAUAAUACUGGUAUCAAAGUAAAAUGUUUACAUAAGCACAUUGUUUAUAAAUUAGUAAAAAUAAAUCAGAAAAAAAAUACUGGGCAUUUUUGAGAAAUCUAUAUACCACACCAGCAAUCACACACAGGAUGGCUCAGACACUCACUCACACAUAAUUAACACUCUUGAGAAA
Scylla paramamosain (green mud crab) is the source of this 1358-nucleotide long non-coding RNA. RefSeq lists it as uncharacterized. NCBI's taxonomy places the organism in Eukaryota, Metazoa, Arthropoda, Malacostraca, Decapoda, Portunidae. The transcript has 4 exons. The record is from RefSeq and is a predicted model, not a curated record.